This 459-nucleotide ribosomal RNA is filed under the name uncultured bacterium. Its description in RNAcentral is "partial 16S ribosomal RNA". It matches the Rfam family "Bacterial small subunit ribosomal RNA", at positions 338 to 795 of the family's 1533-position model. The record is from RNAcentral.
CCUACGGGAGGCAGCAGUGAGGAAUAUUGGUCAAUGGUCGGGAGACUGAACCAGCCAAGCCGCGUGAGGGAGGAAGGUACAGAGUAUCGUAAACCUCUUUUGUCAGGGAACAAAGACUGGGACGCGUCCCCGGAUGAGGGUACCUGAAGAAAAAGCAUCGGCUAACUCCGUGCCAGCAGCCGCGGUAAUACGGAGGAUGCGAGCGUUAUCCGGAUUUAUUGGGUUUAAAGGGUGCGCAGGCGGUCUGUUAAGUCAGCGGUAAAAGCCCGGGGCUCAACCCCGGCCAGCCGUUGAAACUGGCAGUCGCGAGUUGGAGAGAAGUAGGCGGAAUGCGCGGUGUAGCGGUGAAAUGCAUAGAUAUCGCGCAGAACUCCGAUUGCGAAGGCAGCAUGCCGGCUCCACACUGACGCUGAGGCACGAAAGCGUGGGUAUCGAACAGGAUUAGAUACCCCUGUAGUC